CCUACGGGUGGCAGCAGUGAGGAAUAUUGGUCAAUGGACGAGAGUCUGAACCAGCCAAGUAGCGUGAAGGAUGACUGCCCUAUGGGUUGUAAACUUCUUUUAUAUGGGAAUAAAACGUUCCACGUGUGGGAUUUUGUAUGUACCAUAUGAAUAAGGAUCGGCGAACUCCGUGCCAGCAGCCGCGGUAAUACGGAGGAUCCGAGCGUUAUCCGGAUUUAUUGGGUUUAAAGGGCGCGUAGGUGGAUUGUUAAGUCAGUUGUGAAAGUUUGCGGCUCAACCGUAAAAUUGCAGUUGAAACUGGCAGUCUUGAGUACAGUAGAGGUGAGCGGAAUUCGUGGUGUAGCGGUGAAAUGCGUAGAUAUCGCGAAGAACUCCGAUUGCGAAGGCAGGUCACUGGACUGCAACUGACACUGAGGCUCGAAAGUGAGGGUAGCAAACAGGAUUAGAUACCCGGGUAGUC
Molecule: ribosomal RNA, 460 nt
Filed under: uncultured bacterium
Lineage: Bacteria
Description: partial 16S ribosomal RNA
Rfam family: Bacterial small subunit ribosomal RNA
Source: RNAcentral